RNAcentral lists this ribosomal RNA (156 nucleotides) under Sorghum bicolor (sorghum). RNAcentral describes it as "rRNA 5_8S_rRNA". It matches the Rfam family "5.8S ribosomal RNA". From Rfam's summary of the family: 5.8S ribosomal RNA (5.8S rRNA) is a component of the large subunit of the eukaryotic ribosome. It is transcribed by RNA polymerase I as part of the 45S precursor that also contains 18S and 28S rRNA. Lineage: Eukaryota; Viridiplantae; Streptophyta; Magnoliopsida; Poales; Poaceae. The record is from Rfam by way of RNAcentral.
GACUCUCGGCAACGGAUAUCUCGGCUCUCGGAUCGAUGAAGAACGUAGCAAAAUGCGAUACCUGGUGUGAAUUGCAGAAUCCCACGAACCAUCGAGUUUUUGAACGCAAGUUGCGCCCGAGGCCUUCCGGCCGAGGGCACGUCUGCCUGGUCGUCA